CAUCCUCCCUUAGAGUUUGAUCCUGGCUCAGGAUGAACGCUAGCUACAGGCUUAACACAUGCAAGUCGAGGGGAAACGACAUCGAAAGCUUGCUUUUGAUGGGUGUCGACCGGCGCACGGGUGAGUAACGCGUAUCCAACCUGCCCAUCACUUGGGAAUAACCUUGCGAAAGUAAGACUAAUACCCAAUGAUAUCCCACGAAGGCAUCCGAAUGGGAUUAAAGAUUUAUCGGUGAUGGAUGGGGAUGCGUCUGAUUAGCUUGUUGGCGGGGUAACGGCCCACCAAGGCAACGAUCAGUAGGGGUUCUGAGAGGAAGGUCCCCCACAUUGGAACUGAGACACGGUCCAAACUCCUACGGGAGGCAGCAGUGAGGAAUAUUGGUCAAUGGGCGAGAGCCUGAACCAGCCAAGUAGCGUGCAGGAAGACGGCCCUAUGGGUUGUAAACUGCUUUUAUAAGGGAAUAAAGUGAGUCUCGUGAGACUUUUUGCAUGUACCUUAUGAAUAAGGACCGGCUAAUUCCGUGCCAGCAGCCGCGGUAAUACGGAAGGUCCGGGCGUUAUCCGGAUUUAUUGGGUUUAAAGGGAGCGUAGGCCGGAGAUUAAGCGUGUUGUGAAAUGUAGAGGCUCAACCUCUGCACUGCAGCGCGAACUGGUCUUCUUGAGUACGCACAACGUGGGCGGAAUUCGUGGUGUAGCGGUGAAAUGCUUAGAUAUCACGAAGAACUCCGAUUGCGAAGGCAGCUCACGGGAGCGCAACUGACGCUGAAGCUCGAAAGUGCGGGUAUCGAACAGGAUUAGAUACCCUGGUAGUCCGCACGGUAAACGAUGGAUGCCCGCUGUUGGCCUGAAUAGGUCAGCGGCCAAGCGAAAGCAUUAAGCAUCCCACCUGGGGAGUACGCCGGCAACGGUG
Molecule: ribosomal RNA, 909 nt
Filed under: uncultured bacterium
Lineage: Bacteria
Description: bacterial SSU rRNA
Rfam family: Bacterial small subunit ribosomal RNA
Source: RNAcentral